AUGGCAACAGCGGGCGCGACGGACGCGGUGUGGCACGUGCGUGGGCAUGGAGAGCCAGAGAGGGAGUGGCCCCGCGGGCGCAGAAGAAGAGCUGAAGGCUCGGGCAUGGGUGCGCAUAGGAGCGGGCAUGUGCCACGGGGUCAAUCCGAGGAGCUCGGUGGCUACCCCUGCAAUGGCCAUGGCGGACGGUGGUUCUUGGCCACGGCGAAAUACCUAACGAGAGCAAACGAGAGGGGAAACUGUGGAAAGGCAAGAGGAGAUCACGGCGCGGAUCAGGGCGGCAAUGUCACGGUGGCCGAAGAUUGA
Molecule: ribosomal RNA, 306 nt
Filed under: Triticum aestivum (bread wheat)
Lineage: Eukaryota; Viridiplantae; Streptophyta; Magnoliopsida; Poales; Poaceae
Description: partial small subunit ribosomal RNA
Source: RNAcentral